GCGGACGUAGCUCAGCUGGUAGAGCGCCAGGUUGUGGUCCUGGAUGUCGUGGGUUCGAGCCCCAUCGUUCGCC
Molecule: transfer RNA, 73 nt
Filed under: Acidiphilium cryptum JF-5
Lineage: Bacteria; Pseudomonadati; Pseudomonadota; Alphaproteobacteria; Acetobacterales; Acidocellaceae
Rfam family: tRNA
About the family: Transfer RNA (tRNA) molecules are approximately 80 nucleotides in length. Their secondary structure includes four short double-helical elements and three loops (D, anti-codon, and T loops).
Source: Rfam by way of RNAcentral